UGCUAGAUAAGGAAUUUAUACAAUAUUCAAUAUAAGAUUAGUUAAAGAUUCCUUUAUGUUUGUAUAAUUAUAGUAGUUCUAUAAGAUAUUACAAGACAAAUGAGAUAAUGGAAACAAAGUUUCACUCUUCAUUUUGGAUUAAAAUGUCCAAAGAGACCUCUUAAGGAAGGCCUUGCUACAUACAGUUUACUUUCAUAAGUAUACAAUAUACACUACCCACUGGUCUCUACUACAGAAAAUUGUUUUACCCUUUUCGGAAUACGAUAAUAUGUGCUUUUUUCCUCUAAAAACAGAAAGAGGGAAAAAGAAAUUCUAUUUUCCUGGGCUAAAGAAUACAAUCAUAAUGAAGUUCAAGCAUGUCUGAUCGAUCACAAAUUUGUAUGACAAUUACAAAUUGUUGUUAUGGACUCCUCCCCUCAAAACUUGAUUCCGCUGUGGUAAUAAACACCAACAUCCUGUAAGAAGACUGUACAUAUGCAAAAUUGCAAGAAUUAAAGAGAGUAACCAACAAGAUAAAAUUCCAAAAAGAUAUUUCCCUUAAGAAAUUUGAGCGCAAGAUUAUACUGCUCAGUAACUUUUUACGGAGUACAUAGGAAGGUAAAACAAGAAAACUCGAACUACAUCUGAACUGUGAAGAUAAAAAACAAGAAUAAUCGAGCAUAUUUUUAAGAGAAGUCUACAAUCAAUGAACUUUUGUAAUUUCUAGCUUACUCCUUGAUUUCUACAUUUUUAACAACAAAGUUCCCUAGACUAGUCUACCGUCAUGGUCAAAGUUAGUCUAGUUAAUUAAUAGACAUGAGAAUACCUCCAUUGUAUCACACAAUGGUCGCAAGUUCCAAACUUGCAUUAUGUUAUAUCACUUGUGCCUGCAGCUUCAGUGUGAUGCAUAUAAAUAGAUUAGAAAAUCCAGACGUACCUCAAGUCAGUUAUACAAUGUUGCUGCAUAGUCUUCACGCAUUGUCAGAUUGACGUAUUUGAUCUUUAUGAAAUACAGGCUACUUUACAAGGCUAUUGACCAACUUCCUCACCAAAAUUUUUUGCCACAAAUUCAUCAAGCUGUCCCCAAUUAGGAGGAUUAGAUUUGCUAUCUGAAGGCAAUGAUCUGAUACAUGCAAGAAUAUGCUGAACAUCGCAAUACAUUCUGUUGCAAAAGAAAAUAAGUUAAUAGUCAUUUUUGAUGAAGAGAAAACAAGUAAGUCAUAACAAUCAACAGAGGAAGAAGUGAAUGACAAACACAGGCAAUAAGAAAAAAGAACAAAAAGAAAAAAGAAAAAAGAAACUUGUCAGCCUUCAACUCUAGGAUAUAUUUGUGUUACUAGAUGCCAUCAAGUUGUUGCUUAAAGUGACGAGAGUAAUGCAAAUUGAGAGAUUAUCAUAUCAUGUGUUAAGCAAUGCUGUUCCAUUUAAUGUGCGCUUUAAAUAAUGAGGCGCAAAGUAAUCUAACCAGACGCAAUUGAUUUUUUUGUGUGUGUGUUUGUUAACCAGAAGCAAUUGACGCUUUGAAGGAGAUAUAGAACACAAC
Molecule: long non-coding RNA, 1522 nt
Filed under: Solanum tuberosum (potato)
Lineage: Eukaryota; Viridiplantae; Streptophyta; Magnoliopsida; Solanales; Solanaceae
Description: long non-coding RNA (STUB_LNC002932)
Source: RNAcentral